GGUGGUGCAUGGCCGUUCUUAGUUCGUGGAGUAAUCUGUCUGGUUAAUUUCGAUAACGAACGAGACUAGAACAUAGUUAAUUGUGUGUGAUAUUAUUAUUUUAUUACACGGUGAUAAAUGGAUAUGCAAAUUAAAUUGCCUGAAAACUGGCAAUAACAGGUCUGUUAUGCCCUUAGUUGUCCGGGGCCGCACGCGCGCUACAAUGGAAAUUGCAGUGCGUAUAUACUAUAUCGAAAGAUAUGGUUAAACGUGUCAAAUUAUUCCGCAUUCGGGAUCGGAGACUGUAAUUGUUUCCGUGAACGAGGAACUUCAAGUAAGUGUGUGUCAUUAGCGCACGCUGAUUACGUCCCUGCCCUUUGUA
Molecule: ribosomal RNA, 361 nt
Filed under: Pristionchus aerivorus
Lineage: Eukaryota; Metazoa; Nematoda; Chromadorea; Rhabditida; Neodiplogasteridae
Description: SSU rRNA
Rfam family: Eukaryotic small subunit ribosomal RNA
Source: RNAcentral